GGAUGAACGCUGGCGGCGUGCUUAAUACAUGCAAGUCGAACGGAGAGCUCGCAAGGGCUCUGAGUGGCGAACGGGUGAGUAACGCGUGGGUGACCUGCCCCGAAGCCGGGGAUAACAGCUCGAAAGGGCUGCUAAUACCGGAUGUGGUCAUAGGGUUUAGAAGCUUAUGACCAAAGGAAUGCAUUUUACGGAAUGCGCUCCACUUUGGGAGGGGCCUGCGUCCCAUCAGCUAGUUGGCAAGGUAACGGCUUACCAAGGCGACGACGGGUAGGGGACCUGAGAGGGUGAUCCCCCACACUGGCACUGAAACACGGGCCAGACACCUACGGGUGGCAGCAGUAGGGAAUAUUGCACAAUGGGCGCAAGCCUGAUGCAGCAACGCCGCGUGCGCGAUGAAGGCCUUCGGGUCGUAAAGCGCUUUUCUGGAGGACGAGGAAGGACGGUACUCCAGGAAGAAGGCUCGGCUAACUACGUGCCAGCAGCCGCGGUAAAACGUAGGAGCCAAGCGUUAUCCGAAUUCACUGGGCGUAAAGCGCGUGCAGGCGGCCGGGUAAGUUGGCUGUGAAAUCUCCUGGCUCAACUGGGAGAGGCCGGUCAAGACUAUUCGGCUCGAGGACGGUAGAGGAAGGUAGAAUUCCCGGUGUAGUGGUGAAAUGCGUAGAUAUCGGGAGGAAUACCUGUGGCGAAAGCGGCCUUCUGGACCGUUCCUGACGCUCAGACGCGAAAGCCAGGGGAGCGAACGGGAUUAGAAACCCCGGUAGUCCUGGCUGUAAACGAUGUAGACUAGGCGUGGGUGGGGUAAAAGCCAUCCGUGCCGCAGCAAACGCGGUAAGUCUACCGCCUG
This 844-nucleotide ribosomal RNA is filed under the name uncultured bacterium. Its description in RNAcentral is "bacterial SSU rRNA". It matches the Rfam family "Bacterial small subunit ribosomal RNA", at positions 27 to 875 of the family's 1533-position model. The record is from RNAcentral.